UACGUAGGGUUCAAGCGUUAUCCGGAUUUAUUGGGCGUAAAGCACAUGUAGGUGGAUUGACGCGUCUCCUUUUAAAUCUCUGGGCUCAACCCAGAAUCUGGAGGAGAUACGGUCUUUCUUGUGGUCAGCAGGGGCAAAUGGAAUUCCCGGUGUAGGAGUGAAAUCCGUUGAUAUCGGGAGGAACACCAAUGGCGAAGGCAAUUUGCUAGGCUGAUUCAGACACUGAGAUGUGAAAGCGUGGGGAGCGAAUGGGAUUAGAAACCCGAGUAGU
Molecule: ribosomal RNA, 271 nt
Filed under: uncultured bacterium
Lineage: Bacteria
Description: partial 16S ribosomal RNA
Rfam family: Bacterial small subunit ribosomal RNA
Source: RNAcentral